Molecule: ribosomal RNA, 307 nt
Filed under: uncultured bacterium
Lineage: Bacteria
Description: bacterial SSU rRNA
Rfam family: Bacterial small subunit ribosomal RNA
Source: RNAcentral
GACGAACGCUGGCGGCGUGCUUAACACAUGCAAGUCGAACGAUGAAGCCUUUCGGGGUGGAUUAGUGGCGAACGGGUGAGUAACACGUGGGCAAUCUGCCCUGUACUUUGGGAUAAGCCUUGGAAACGAGGUCUAAUACCGGAUAUGACUGGCCCUUCGUCAUGGGGGUUGGGUUGGUAAAGUUACUGGCGGUACAGGAUGAGCCCGCCGGCCUAUCAGCUUGUUGGUUGGGGUAAGUGGCCUACCAAGGCGACGACGGGUAGGCUGGUCUGAGAGGAUGGCCAGCCACAUUGGGACUGAGACACGG